CUCUUAUUCAGAGUGAUGGAGUUACAUAGGAACUGUGAAGUCACGGCAACCCCGCUUUGCGGAAGGUGCCAACCUGAGCGAAUUAAUCGAACAAUAAGAG
Molecule: non-coding RNA, 100 nt
Filed under: Blautia sp.
Lineage: Bacteria; Bacillati; Bacillota; Clostridia; Lachnospirales; Lachnospiraceae
Also listed under: 1 other name
Description: SAM-I sequence
Rfam family: SAM riboswitch aptamer (S box leader)
About the family: The SAM riboswitch is found upstream of a number of genes which code for proteins involved in methionine or cysteine biosynthesis in Gram-positive bacteria. The SAM riboswitch acts at the level of transcription termination control. The predicted structure consists of a complex stem-loop region followed by a single stem loop terminator region.
Source: RNAcentral